ACCUGUGCCACUGCAGUGACCAUGCCAUAUCCUUAACUCACUGAGCCCCAUGGGAACUUCUGUUUGACCUUUCUAAGGCUCAGUGUUCUUACAUAUAAAAUGAGAUAAUAAAAGCAUGAACCUGAUAGUAAAAAACAAAUAAAAUGAGAGAAGUAUGACAUCAAAAGACGCUUAAAGCUCAUUCCUAUUUAUAUCCAGACCUGUAGCUCUCGUAUAUAAAUUGUCUCCCUUUUUAUUAUGCGUCAUAAAGUGUGGUAAAUACUACAAAUAUUAUCUCAUUUCAUCCUCAUAAUAUUUGUUACAAGGAGGUACUGUUAUUCUACUUUCUAAUCCUUUUGUUUCUGUAAUAUUGAUAGUAAUAUCCCCUCUUUUCUGAUUUUACUUGUUUGAAGUCUUCUCUCUCCUUAAUCAAUCUAAACAUUUGUAAAUUAUUUAUUUAUUUAUUUUAUUUCCCCAAUACAUUAUUUUUUUUUCUACUGUACAGCAACUUGACCCAGUUACACAUACGUGUAUACAUUCUAUUUUCUCACAUCAUCAUACUCCAUCAUAAGUGACUAGACAUAGUUCCCAGUGCUACACAGCAGGAUCUCAUUGCUAAAUUUUGAAACUGAUGCCUAAUUUUUAAGAUGUUACAGAUCUGAGUCAAGAUUCAAACUAAGACUGUCAGGUUCCAAAGCUUAAUCUCAUCGGCUGUUUUGAAAAGAAGGCACCAAAUCUGGGUUCACACCAACGUUUAACUCACAGAAAAUUCAUUUUGUAAUUUUGCUAUGGCACAUCACAUUACUUGAUAUGCUAUGGCUUAAAUUUUAUUCCCUAGUAGUCACACUUAAGUACCCUCCUAUUUCUUUUCUUUUUAAAUACUUCAAGCGUGAAGUUGAGUACAGACAUAAUUAUAACUAAAAACUAUGUACUACCACCCAGCUUGGUCAGAUAUUAUAAUUUCAUCAAAUUUGCUUCAGAUCUUUUUUUUUAAAAAAAUAAAUCAUUACAGAAAUAAGCAUAUGAAUUCCUUCCUAAUUCCAAAAAUACGACUCUUCUUUUAAAUUUCCAUGCAUGUUUUUCUGCUUCUAAUACAUGUUUGCAACCAUAAACAAUAUGUAGAACUGUUUUGCCUAAUUUGAAACUUGGUUUAAAUGGUAUCUCACUGUCAGCAUCCAUCUGAGGUCUGCUUAUAUCGUUGAAUAUGUUUUAAAGAUUUUGCCACUUGGAUGGAAUUAGUGUAAAUUCUUUUAACAUUUAGAUAGUGUUUUAUCAUAUGUUUAUAUUCUGACUUAACCACUCAUAUUGAUGGACAUUAGGGUUGUUUCCAAGUUGUAAGAAUACAAAUAAUGCUGCAAUAAGUACAUAUAUAUAUAUUUUUUUGGCUGCACCAGUGACACAUGGAAGUUCCCAAGCCAGGGAUCAAAUCUGACCUUCAGCUGCAACCUACACCACAGCUGUAGCAAUGCCAGAUCCUUAAUCCACUGCACCAGGCAGGAUUGAACCCACACCUCCACAGUGACUAGACCUGCUGCAGUAGGAUCCUUAAUCCACCCUGCCACAGUGGGAACUCCUGCAAUGACUAUUGUUAUACUGCCAGGCCACAUAUUGUGAGAUUUCUCUAUUAAGCUGCAAGGCCAAGGAGUAUACUCAUCCUCAAAGUUAUGAGAUAUAACAAAAUGCCCUACAAAGUGGCAGCAGUAACUCACAUUAAACCAGCAUUAGUUCAUAUCAUUCCACACAUCUGGUAUUGCCAGGCUUUAAAAUGUUUUUACUCUGUUGGAGAUAAAAUAUUUCAUACUUUAACAUGCAUUUCCCUACCUAUGAGUGAGAUUAAACAUUCUUUUAUUUUUUAUUUUAUAUUUUUAUAUUAGUUCUUUUUCACUUCUGCUUUUUAUAUGCCUAUUUUUCUACUAAGUUGUUAAAGGAGGGAGACAAGACAUACUAAACAAAUAAGAAAGCAAAAUACCUAGGAUGUCAAAUGGUCAUAUACACUAUGGGAAGACCAGAAGCAGAGAAGGGGUGAGAAUUCAAUCUUAAAUAGAAUAAUUAGGGAAGAACUUAGCAGGAAGGCGACAUUUAGCAAAGUCCUAAAAUCAGUGCAGGCAGAAGCUAUAACGGGAAAAUUAUAACGUGAUCAGACAUGAAGUGGUACAUAGGGAUUUGUUAUGAUUAUAAGCUAUGAAAAUUUCUUUGCUUUGAACACAACUCUUUUCAGUUAUAUAUGUUGCAACUAUUUUUCCUAGUCCAAAGCUAACCUUCUUAUUUUGUUUACAGUGACACAUAAAACUUUUAAAAACUUAAUGCAAUAAAAUAUAUUAGUACUUUCCUUUAAGGUAGGUGUUUUUUGUUUGUUUUAUUCAAUAAAUCCUUUCCUAUCCCUGAGUCAUAAAGAUAUUCUCCUAUAGUUAUUUUUAAAGUUUUUAAAGAUAAGCCUUUUGCAUUUAAUGCACUUGGGACUGGUAUUAUUUAUAUGAUUUCGUGUUAGGAUUCAACAAAGUUUCUGUAUAGGUAUUAUGCAUCGUCCUUGUACCAUUUUAAUCUUAGUCUAUGCUGUCUGCAUUGAUUUGUAAUGAUAUACCUAUCAUACUUUAUGUGUAAAAUCAGCAUAGUUUAUUUUGGGGCUCUAGAUUUCAUUCCAUUUUUCUACUUUCUAUUUCUGUGCAAAUUAAUACUCACACUGCCCUAAUUACCACAACUAUAAUCUUACAUUUUCACAACUGGUAAGACCUAUCCAUCUAUGGCUCCUACAUCUGCCCUCCUUCCUUCCAUUCCUCCAUCUCAUCCAUCCAUCCAUCCCUUAUUAUUAUUCAUAAAUAUUUCUUUUGAGCCUAACUUUGCCAAACACUGGUUUGGCCCCUAGGGAUUUAAUAACAAAGUAAACAGAUAUCUCUACCCUCAUGGAGCUUACAUUCCAGGCAAUGGAGACAGACACUAAAAUAAACGAUAAAUAAGUAUGCCAGAUGGUGAUGAUGGCCAUGGAGACACAGGAAGCAGGGACGAGGAUCUAGCACAUGAUAACACCUGAUAUAAUACAAACACCCCAAAAUCUAAUGGGAUAAACAUGAACUUCUUUUCAAUACACACUAGACAUUUAGAGAUUGCAAUAAAAACUCAAGAUGCUCACGCUCGAAGUCUCGCAACAGUUUACAACUUUUGGUGAUUUAUUUCUAUCCCUAAGGGAUGGUAUAUGAAAAUGCAACCUGUCCUUGCCAGGCUGUGAGUACACAGGGAAGUUUAUUCUAGUCACCUGGGAGAAGAGAUCAGAGCACAUAUGCAUUCUGUCUGGUCCUUUACUUUGGCCUGACUUAAGACACUAGUCUUGGACCAGAAUGAGACUGCAGUUUGUCAGCUGGACAGCAUGGAAGCCUGGAAAAGUUUCUGGUUCUAGAGAGCUGGGAAUAAGCCCAGAGUUCAUAAACACAACUCCUUCACAAAAUACUAAUAUUUUACAAGCUGUCUGGAAGUGUUAUACACUUAAAAUUGAAUAAGCACUACUUUUGCUACCUCCCUCAACUUCUAGGGUAAAAAAGCCAAUGGAUCAUUGCUUUUAAAAGUUUAUUUAUAUGUUUUAGCCCAGUUGUCAAAUCUUUGGCAGUGAUCAUCAUUACCCUGUGUGAAGUUCAGUAUAUUUUAUUUUUAACCCACAAUGGGCUCUGCGUAACUCUAGGCAAGUUAUUUCACCCUUCUAAACGUCAGUUUCCUCACUUCAAGGCAGGGUAACAAUACCUAAUUGCAGACUUGUCGUGACUAUUAAGUACUAUUUUGAAAGACCUUAGGACAGUGACAGUAUGGGGUAGUCAUGGAAAAAAUGGCAGUCCCUAUCAUUAGAACUGUUAUACAAAUAAUCACAGAUAUUUGCCAAAG
This 3846-nucleotide long non-coding RNA is filed under the name Sus scrofa (pig). RNAcentral's name for it is "lncRNA (ENSSSCG00045031492.1)". Lineage: Eukaryota; Metazoa; Chordata; Mammalia; Artiodactyla; Suidae. The record is from RNAcentral.